UUCGCAGGCGGCGUAUUAGGUCAGUGGUGAAAUCCCUCGGCUCAACCGAGGAACUGCCAUUGAUACUGGUAUGCUAGAGUAUAGUUGGCGUAGGCGGAAUGUAUCAUGUAGCGGUGAAAUGCUUAGAUAUGAUACAGAACACCGAUCGCGAAGGCAGCUUACGAAACUAUAACUGACGCUCAGGAACGAAAGCGUGGGGAGCGAACAGGAUUAGAUACCCUGGUAGUCC
RNAcentral lists this ribosomal RNA (229 nucleotides) under uncultured bacterium. RNAcentral's name for it is "partial 16S ribosomal RNA". It matches the Rfam family "Bacterial small subunit ribosomal RNA", at positions 568 to 796 of the family's 1533-position model. The record is from RNAcentral.